UUCUGAAAAUAUUGCCUGAUAUUGAUGACCCAUCCCUCAAAAGGCAGAGAACUAAAGAAGUUAUUUUUUAAAAAAAUAUUGUAAAGGAUGAUAUUGUUGUCAUCUCUAUGAUGAUAACAAAGUAUGAUAUAAAAAAAGUUCUUAUUGAUAAUGAAAGCUUUGUUGACGUAUUGUUCUGUGAUGCUUUCUUAAAAAUAAAUUUAACCAG
Molecule: long non-coding RNA, 208 nt
Filed under: Elaeis guineensis (African oil palm)
Lineage: Eukaryota; Viridiplantae; Streptophyta; Magnoliopsida; Arecales; Arecaceae
Description: long non-coding RNA (EGUI_LNC019357)
Source: RNAcentral